Molecule: ribosomal RNA, 461 nt
Filed under: uncultured bacterium
Lineage: Bacteria
Description: partial 16S ribosomal RNA
Rfam family: Bacterial small subunit ribosomal RNA
Source: RNAcentral
CCUACGGGUGGCUGCAGUGAGGAAUAUUGGUCAAUGGGCUUACGCCUGAACCAGCCAAGUCGCGUGAGGGAAGACUGCCCUAUGGGUUGUAAACCUCUUUUGUCAGGGAGCAACGCCGGCUACGUGUAGCCGGACUGAGAGUACCUGAAGAAAAAGCAUCGGCUAACUCCGUGCCAGCAGCCGCGGUAAUACGGAGGAUGCGAGCGUUAUCCGGAUUUAUUGGGUUUAAAGGGUGCGUAGGCGGGAAGCCAAGUCAGCUGUGAAAACUACGGGCUUAACUUGUAGACUGCAGUUGAAACUGGUUUUCUUGAGUGAAGUAGAGGUUGGCGGAAUUCCGAGUGUAGCGGUGAAAUGCGUAGAUAUUCGGAGGAACACCGGUGGCGAAGGCGGCCAACUGGGCUUUAACUGACGCUGAGGCUCGAAAGUGUGGGGAGCAAACAGGAUUAGAUACCCCUGUAGUC